Melopsittacus undulatus (budgerigar) is the source of this 2243-nucleotide long non-coding RNA. RefSeq lists it as uncharacterized. The transcript is spliced from 3 exons. Lineage: Eukaryota; Metazoa; Chordata; Aves; Psittaciformes; Psittaculidae. The record is from RefSeq and is a predicted model, not a curated record.
CGGUGAGGUAGUUUGCGUCGGAUGGGUUUUCAAGGUCAGCUCCUGCAUCUGAGGCAUCAGGUUCUUCAACUUGUCUGUCCAUCUCAUGGUAUGGCUUGACAAACUUUGCAGGCAGCCACCGCAGACCUGUAGGUGUACCAAGGAGAGGUUACAUUAGUCCAGGAAGUCAGAUCACCUCUUCCCCAUUGGCCGUGGUGGGCAUACAUUUGCCCUCCAAACAUGAAACAGGAAUUACUUCCAUUCAAUGAUCCCAAUAAUUCUAACUCCUGUGGGUCCCAUGGUAGAGUGGUAUUGAGAUUCUGUAUUAUUAAGGCUGCUGCAGCUCCUAUAUUAUUGUUGCAAGUUUGUUUGUCAUUGUACCAUGAGUUGCAUGUAUGGAUAAUUAUUUUCAAAUCUAAUAUGGUUUUGUUACCCAUUUUUGCCAGUCUGUCAACAGCAGGUAAGGUAUGCCAAUUAAGCAUGUUUGAAAAGGGUCUCCAGGUGUCGCAAGGGAUAAACAAAAUGAUGAUUGAUUUGUUAGAUUAGCCCAUGUUACCCACAUGUUUUGUCUAGGAAGUAUCAUCUGUAUUCCCUGCAUCAAAUGUACGCAUGUUAUCAGACCUAAGAUUAAUUCCACUUUCCCGCAAUUUUGCAAACCUUCCAACAUUUUCUUGGAAUAUUCUAGUCCUGACAUUCUUUAUGGGACAAAGUUACCUGCUUUCAACAGCAGCCAAAUAGUAAACUUCCUGUAUGAUGAUGCAUAUGGCUAUUGUGAAUCACUUUGUUGUUGUUUUUCACUCUGGGUAUUAUUAUUAUUCAGAUAUGGUUUCACCCACUUGGCUUUCACCCACUGCAUUCCUGUAUCUGUGGAAACACAAGCAUAACCUCUUCCUCAUGUUAUCAGUUGAUUUGGACCUUCCCAUUAUCCUGUUUGUCCAUUUUUUACCCACACGCAAACCCCUUUCAGCAUAUUCAAAUCUCUUUCAGACCUGAUCUGUGUUUCACAGCCAGUGGAACUGACUGAUCGCCUGGUAGCCGUAAAAAGUUCAAUACAUAUACUGCCUUGAGUAAUCGUGAAUGAGGAUCAUUUUCAGUCCCAGCUCCCCCCCUUCUGUUUAAGAAGUAAUUCUUUCAGUGAUCAGUGUGCACAUUCAGCAAUGGCUUGACGUGUAGGAGAAUGUGGUGUUCCAAACAACUGUUGUAUUCCCCAGUUCAUACAGAAGGUUUGUAGUUUGGCACUUGUAUAUCCCGGACCAUUAUCAGUUUUGAGAGCCGUGGGGACACCUAAGGCUGCAAAGGCUGAUAAUAGAUAUUUGAUAACAUGUUUUUCAGUUUUGCCAGUUUGUGCUGAGGCCCAAAUUGCCAUGGAAUAGCAGUCUAUGGAGACAUGUACAUAUUUCAGUUUACCAAAUUCCGGAAUAUGUGUUAUAUCUAUUUGCCACAAUUCUAAAGGUCUGUAACCUCUUGGGUUAACUGCAAGAGAAUGUGGAUUAUUUAUUACUUGACAAUCAGAACAUGAAGAUAUAAUAGCCUUUGCAUUGGUUAUAGGAAUAUGAAAUUGUCGUUGUAAUACUUUUGCACUCUGAUGAAAAAAAUCAUGGGAUUGCUGGGCUUGAGAAAACAAGUCUCUGGGGGGUGCCACCCAUGCAGGAUACACUAACAAGUCUGCCUGUGCAUAUCCCUGCUUGAGUAUGCUGUCUAUUGUGGUAUGGCUGUGAAUAUGACAAACAUAAUAAUAAUGAUUGUGUUGGGUAAGCACAACAAAUAAGCAGCAAAAAAGCAAAUACAAUUUUUCAUGCUGUAGCUCCUUAAUAUAUGCUUGAUCUAUUCUAUAAACUAUACCUACUACAUAUUAAGAGUCACACACAACAUUAAUUGGUUGUCUGUUCCACUGUUCAAAUAUGAAUACUACUGCCAAUAAUUCUAAAUACUGGGUGGAACAGCCAUCUUCUGCAUGAAUUAUCUGAUGGCUCCACAGCGCGUUUUCUUGCCAAACAUAAGCUGCUUUUCCUGUUUUUCUGCUGGCAUCUGUAAAAACAGUUAAAGCUUCAAAGAGUUGUUGUUUCAGAAGUGGAAAUCCUAAUACUGGUGUGGUAUGGAUAAUGUUGAAUAGUUUAUGUCCUGGACUUUGUUGAAUGAUUUGGCCAUCAAACCCUGACAUGGGAAUUUGUAAAUCAACAGAAUUUUGUGACAACCAAUCAAAAUAUUCUGCUGUAAUAGGGAUUAUUAUCUGUGUUAUUUCUAGUCCACUUAAGCUAUGCACA